This 524-nucleotide ribosomal RNA is filed under the name uncultured bacterium. Its description in RNAcentral is "partial 16S ribosomal RNA". It matches the Rfam family "Bacterial small subunit ribosomal RNA", at positions 28 to 523 of the family's 1533-position model. The record is from RNAcentral.
GACGAACGCUGGCGGCGUGCUUAACACAUGCAAGUCGAACGAGACGAUUGAAAGCUUGCUUUCGAAAGUCGAGUGGCAAACGGGUGAGUAACGCGUAGACAACCUGCCUUUGAGAUGGGGACAACAGUUCGAACGGACUGCUAAUACCGAAUGUUCUCUAUUUUCCACAUGGAAGAUAUAUUAGAGAUGGCCUCUAUUUAUAAGCUAUCGCUCAACGAUGGGUCUGCGUCUGAUUAGCUAGUUGGUGGGGUAACGGCCUACCAAGGCGACGAUCAGUAGCCGGUCUGAAAGGAUGAACGGCCACAUUGGGACUGAGACACGGCCCAGACUCCUACGGGAGGCAGCAGUGGGGAAUCUUCCACAAUGGACGAAAGUCUGAUGGAGCAACGCCGCGUGAGUGAAGAAGGGUUUCGGCUCGUAAAGCUCUGUUGUCGGGGACGAAUGUGCAGUAUUUGAAUAAAGUACUGUAAUGACGGUGCCUGACGAGGAAGCCACGGCUAACUACGUGCCAGCCGCCGCGGUAC